GGGGAUUUAGCUCAGUGGUAGAGCGCUUGCCUAGCAAGCACAAGGCCCUGGGUACGGUCCCCAGCUCCA
Molecule: non-coding RNA, 69 nt
Organism: Rattus norvegicus (Norway rat)
Lineage: Eukaryota; Metazoa; Chordata; Mammalia; Rodentia; Muridae
Source: Rfam